CUUGCUCUUUCAGAAUUGAGUGGCAAACGGGUGAGUAACACGUAAACAACCUGCCUUCAGGAUGGGGACAACAGACGGAAACGACUGCUAAUACCGAAUAAGUUCCAAGGGCCGCAUGGCCCAUGGAAGAAAAGGUGGCCUCUACCUGUAAGCUAUCGCCUGAAGAGGGGUUUGCGUCUGAUUAGCUAGUUGGUGAGGUAACGGCCCACCAAGGCGACGAUCAGUAGCCGGACUGAGAGGUUGACCGGCCACAUUGGGACUGAGAUACGGCCCAGACUCC
RNAcentral lists this ribosomal RNA (280 nucleotides) under uncultured Dialister sp. RNAcentral describes it as "partial 16S ribosomal RNA". It matches the Rfam family "Bacterial small subunit ribosomal RNA", at positions 79 to 339 of the family's 1533-position model. Lineage: Bacteria; Bacillati; Bacillota; Negativicutes; Veillonellales; Veillonellaceae. The record is from RNAcentral.